UACAGAGGUCCCAAGCGUUGUUCGGAUUCACUGGGCGUAAAGGGUGCGUAGGUGGUGAGGUAAGUCGGAUGUGAAAUCUCCGAGCUCAACUCGGAAACUGCAUUGGAAACUACCUUGCUCGAGGGUUGGAGGGGGGACUGGAAUUCCUGGUGUAGCGGUGAAAUGCGCAGAUAUCAGGAGGAACACCGGUGCGAAGGCGGGUCUCUGGGCCGUAACUGACGCUGAGGAGCGAAAGCGUGGGAGCGAACGG
This 250-nucleotide ribosomal RNA is filed under the name uncultured bacterium. RNAcentral describes it as "partial 16S ribosomal RNA". It matches the Rfam family "Bacterial small subunit ribosomal RNA", at positions 524 to 775 of the family's 1533-position model. The record is from RNAcentral.